Molecule: transfer RNA, 72 nt
Filed under: Ovis aries (sheep)
Lineage: Eukaryota; Metazoa; Chordata; Mammalia; Artiodactyla; Bovidae
Rfam family: tRNA
About the family: Transfer RNA (tRNA) molecules are approximately 80 nucleotides in length.
Source: Rfam by way of RNAcentral
CCCCUGGUGGCUCAGACGGUAAAGCAUCUGCCUGCAAUGCGGGAGACCCGGGUUCGAUCCCUGGGUUGGGAA